GUGCCAGCAGCCGCGGUAAUACGUAGGGUGCGAGCGUUAAUCGGAAUUACCGGGCGUAAAGCGUGCGCAGGCGGUUUUGUAAGACAGGCGUGAAAUCCCCGGGCUCAACCUGGGAAUGGCGCUUGUGACUGCAAAGCUGGAGUGCGGCAGAGGGGGAUGGAAUUCCGCGUGUAGCAGUGAAAUGCGUAGAUAUGCGGAGGAACACCGAUGGCGAAGGCAAUCCCCUGGGCCUGCACUGACGCUCAUGCACGAAAGCGUGGGGAGCAAACAGGAUUAGAUACCCUGGUAGUCCACGCCCUAAACGAUGUCAACUGGUUGUUGGGUCUUCACUGACUCAGUAACGAAGCUAACGCGUGAAGUUGACCGCCUGGGGAGUACGGCCGCAAGGUUGAAACUUAAAUGAAUUGACGG
RNAcentral lists this ribosomal RNA (411 nucleotides) under uncultured bacterium. Its description in RNAcentral is "bacterial SSU rRNA". It matches the Rfam family "Bacterial small subunit ribosomal RNA", at positions 505 to 916 of the family's 1533-position model. The record is from RNAcentral.